Non-coding RNA from Perkinsus marinus ATCC 50983, 80 nucleotides. NCBI's taxonomy places the organism in Eukaryota, Perkinsozoa, Perkinsida, Perkinsidae. The record is from Rfam.
GACAGUUUGGCCGAGUGGUCUAAGGCGCUGGCUUCAGGCGUCAGUCCGCAAGGGCGUGGGUUCGAAUCCCACAGCUGUUA